ACACUCACUGAGAGACACACAGUGAGACAGGUGGAGGCGGAGCGUUGGCGGUUCAGACAGCAGCUGAAUGACAGCAGCAGAUCUCAGGAGCCUGCAGACACUACAGAACAAGAGCGCCUGAGGAGCAGAGUGAGGGAGCUGGAGGACCAGGUGACUCAGCUCCAUCUCUCAUGGGCCGCCGACCAGCAGCAGAGGGCGGAGUUUAUCCAGCAGUCCUCCAGGAACAGCCAAUGGCUGAUCUCUCUGAGACACGACCUCACUGAUUCGCUGGCCGAGGUCACGCGCCGUCCAAUCCCGUCCGUCCUGGAGUCUGAGACGCAGCGAUUGGACCGCAGCCUGAGGGAGGAGGAGCUUAGGUUGUCCCUCAGCCAAUCGUAACGCCUGAAUCCUAAAAACAAUGAGUCUUCAGUGUUUCUCCGGACCAAAUGAACAGAACUCUGAGAUUCACAGAAUAUAUAAAUAAUACAUUUUGAUAUUGUAGUUUUAUACAAAGUACCUCCAGCAGGAGGGUUUGUCCAGAGGGACCCUGAACUCCUCGCGACUCAUUUGAGUUUACGCACUUUUUAAAAGUCGCAACAAACGUUGAUCAGUUAUUAAAAUGAUUAAAGUAAUGAGCCAGUUUAAAGGUCAAUGAGUGAGUUACUGUGUUGUAUUUCUAUUCUGUUUUGACACACUACGUUUCCCAUAAUCCUCCAGUCCAGCUCAUGUGAAGGUCAGAGGUCAGCUGUGUGUUUUAUAUGAAGCUCAAUUAAAAAAAAGUGUUCAUCAGGAGCUUCUACUUGUCUCUGUUGUGAUGCUCUGAGCCGCCUGCAGGAGGCGCUGACGGCUCUCUAACUGGAUCCUCCCAUGGAAAUACUCGGGUAAAAUACUUCUACUUCAAUACGUGUACUUCGUGUACUUUGUUCAGACUGAAUACUGCAAAGUUAAUCUGUGAUGAGGUGUUUGAAUGUGUCUCUCUUUGUUUCUGGACGACAGACGUCUGUCAUUCAGCACACUGAUAAUCUACUGGAAGCUAUUUCUAACAACUCUCCCCCUUUCUCUCUCUCUCCCUCUUUCUCUCUCCUUUCUCUUUCUUUUGCUCUCACCUCUCU
Long non-coding RNA from Anarrhichthys ocellatus (wolf-eel), 1091 nucleotides. RefSeq lists it as uncharacterized. The transcript is spliced from 4 exons. NCBI's taxonomy places the organism in Eukaryota, Metazoa, Chordata, Actinopteri, Perciformes, Anarhichadidae. The record is from RefSeq and is a predicted model, not a curated record.